GAUGAACGCUGGCGGCGUGCUUAACACAUGCAAGUCGAACGAUGAAGCCCAGCUUGCCGGGUGGAUUAGUGGCGAACGGGUGAGUAACACGUGAGUAACCUGCCCUUAACUCUGGGAUAAGCCUGGGAAACUGGGUCUAAUACCGGAUAGGAGCGUCCACCGCAUGGUGGGUGUUGGAAAGAUUUAUCGGUUUUGGAUGGACUCGCGGCCUAUCAGCUUGUUGGUGAGGUAAUGGCUCACCAAGGCGACGACGGGUAGCCGGCCUGAGAGGGUGACCGGCCACACUGGGACUGAGACACGGCCCAGACUCCUACGGGAGGCAGCAGUGGGGAAUAUUGCACAAUGGGCGCAAGCCUGAUGCAGCGACGCCGCGUGAGGGAUGACGGCCUUCGGGUUGCAAACCUCUUUCAGUAGGGAAGAAGCGAAAGUGACGGUACCUGCAGAAGAAGCACCGGCUAACUACGUG
This 466-nucleotide ribosomal RNA is filed under the name uncultured bacterium. RNAcentral describes it as "partial 16S ribosomal RNA". It matches the Rfam family "Bacterial small subunit ribosomal RNA", at positions 28 to 507 of the family's 1533-position model. The record is from RNAcentral.